RNAcentral lists this unclassified non-coding RNA (324 nucleotides) under Hevea brasiliensis (rubber tree). Lineage: Eukaryota; Viridiplantae; Streptophyta; Magnoliopsida; Malpighiales; Euphorbiaceae. The record is from RNAcentral.
AGAAUAUUGUCCAUGAAUGUCACCUGCAUGUGAUAAACAGACUUUAUCAGCAGACAUUUGCAUAACUUUCUCUUCUUUUAAAUAAAAAAAUGAUCCAGCAACCAUAUUCAGAUGUUAAAGCUUUCAAAAUAUUGUUAUUGUUCUCACCAAUCAGCCAGUUCCAUCAUCAUCACAAGGCAGAGCACACAUGAACAUUGAAAAGUUUUCAGACCAAUGACUUCAUAACCACAUCAGGGCGCAAAAUGCAAUUCCAUUACCAAUGUACCAUCAGUAAACAAUAAAUGAAGGCAGCCAAACACAAUAUAUAUAUCUCUGUGUGUGUGU